UACGGAGGGUGCAAGCGUUAUCCGGAUUCACUGGGUUUAAAGGGUGCGUAGGUGGGUAGGUAAGUCAGUGGUGAAAUCUCCAAGCUUAACUUGGAAACUGCCAUUGAUACUAUUUAUCUUGAAUUUUCCGGAGGUGAGCGGAAUAUGUCAUGUAGCGGUGAAAUGCUUAGAUAUGACAUAGAACACCAAUUGCGAAGGCAGCUCACUACGGGAAUAUUGACACUGAGGCGCGAAAGCGUGGGGAGCAAACAGG
This 253-nucleotide ribosomal RNA is filed under the name uncultured bacterium. RNAcentral's name for it is "partial 16S ribosomal RNA". It matches the Rfam family "Bacterial small subunit ribosomal RNA", at positions 524 to 776 of the family's 1533-position model. The record is from RNAcentral.